AAAACAUUUAAUUGGGACCUUGCUUACAGCUUCAGAAGGUGAAGAGGCGUCCUUGAGCCAUGAGCAAAUUCAGUCUGGUGCUGAUGUGAUGGAUGAACUUGAUGCCGGAAAUGCAGAAGUAGGGAAAUCAAGUUGAACCAUUACUCAAUGGAGGGUAUUUUUUCUCCUUUUCUGGCAAUAAAUAUGGUUGGUAACAAGCCAUACCCAUUCUGUGAUUUAGUUCAAGGAGACACAAUCCACCUCCCAUACUACAAUCAAAAUUCCUUGGGGGUAGGAAGGGUUAGUGGUGCCUUUUAGAUAAUUGAUGCUGUCUGUAGGCUUCCUGCUUUCUGAAGUUCUCACCGUUGCUGUAGUGCUCAUAUUCAAGUAUUAACUACUCUUAAUUAAACCAAAUUGUUUCUUUUCAAAAA
Molecule: long non-coding RNA, 410 nt
Organism: Mesocricetus auratus (golden hamster)
Lineage: Eukaryota; Metazoa; Chordata; Mammalia; Rodentia; Cricetidae
Exons: 2
Source: RefSeq, a predicted model, not a curated record